GAAUCUGGAGACAGGUGCUGCAUGGCUGUCGUCAGCUCGUGUCGUGAGAUGUUGGGUUAAGUCCCGCAACGAGCGCAACCCUUGCCUUUAGUUGCCAGCAGUUCGGCUGGGCACUCUAAAGGGACUGCCGGUGUUAAACCGGAGGAAGUGGGGAUGACGUCAAGUCCUCAUGGCCUUUAUGACCAGGGCUACACACGUACUACAAUGGCCGAUACAAAGGGCAGCGACACUGCGAGGUGAAGCCAAUCCCGUAAAAUCGGUCUCAGUCCGGAUUGGAGUCUGCAACUCGACUCCAUGAAGUUGGAAUCGCUAGUAAUCGUGGAUCAGCAUGCCACGGUGAAUACGUUCCCGGGCCUU
This 357-nucleotide ribosomal RNA is filed under the name uncultured Desulfobulbus sp. RNAcentral describes it as "bacterial SSU rRNA". It matches the Rfam family "Bacterial small subunit ribosomal RNA", at positions 1024 to 1382 of the family's 1533-position model. Lineage: Bacteria; Pseudomonadati; Thermodesulfobacteriota; Desulfobulbia; Desulfobulbales; Desulfobulbaceae. The record is from RNAcentral.